GGGGAAUAUUGCGCAAUGGGCGAAAGCCUGACGCAGCGACGCCGCGUGAGGGAUGAAGGUUUUCGGAUCGUAAACCUCUGUCAGAAGGGAAGAAACCGCACCGUGCUAAUCAGCGGUGCCUUGACGGUACCUUCAAAGGAAGCACCGGCUAACUCCGUGCCAGCAGCCGCGGUAAUACGGAGGGUGCAAGCGUUAAUCGGAAUUACUGGGCGUAAAGCGCACGUAGGCUGCUUUGUAAGUCAGGGGUGAAAUCCCACGGCUCAACCGUGGAACUGCCUUUGAUACUGCUUAGCUUGAAUCCGGGAGAGGGUGGCGGAAUUCCAGGUGUAGGAGUGAAAUCCGUAGAUAUCUGGAGGAACAUCAGUGGCGAAGGCGGCCACCUGGACCGGUAUUGACGCUGAGGUGCGAAAGCGUGGGGAGCAAACA
This 426-nucleotide ribosomal RNA is filed under the name uncultured Desulfovibrio sp. Its description in RNAcentral is "bacterial SSU rRNA". It matches the Rfam family "Bacterial small subunit ribosomal RNA", at positions 356 to 774 of the family's 1533-position model. The record is from RNAcentral. Lineage: Bacteria; Pseudomonadati; Thermodesulfobacteriota; Desulfovibrionia; Desulfovibrionales; Desulfovibrionaceae.